This 68-nucleotide transfer RNA is filed under the name human gut metagenome. It matches the Rfam family "tRNA". From Rfam's summary of the family: Transfer RNA (tRNA) molecules are approximately 80 nucleotides in length. Their secondary structure includes four short double-helical elements and three loops (D, anti-codon, and T loops). RNAcentral also lists the same sequence under 1 other name. The record is from RNAcentral.
GAUUAGCUCAGUUGGGAGAGCGCUGCGUUCGCAACGCAGAGGUCGAGGGUUCGAAUCCCUUAUCGUCC